GGGAGAGGGAGACAUGGAGGAGAGGGAGGCUUGGAGGAGAGGGAGGCUUGGAGGAGAGGGAGACAUGGAGGAGAGGGAGGCUUGGAGGAGAGGGAGGCUUGGAGGAGAGGGAGACAUGGAGGAGAGGGAGACAUGGAGGAGAGGGAGGCUUGGAGGAGAGGGAGGCUUGGGGGAGAGGGAGGCUUGGGGGAGAGGGAGACAUGGAGGAGAGGGAGGCUUGGAGGAGAGGGAGACAUGGAGGAGAGGGAGGCUUGGAGGAGAGGGAGGCUUGGAGGAGAGGGAGGCUUGGGGGAGAGGGAGACAUGGAGGAGAGGGAGGCUUGGAGGAGAGGGAGGCUUGGAGGAGAGGGAGACAUGGAGGAGAGGGAGACAUGGAGGAGAGGGAGGCUUGGAGGAGAGGGAGGCUUGGGGGAGAGGGAGACAUGGAGGAGAGGGAGGCUUGGGGGAGAGGGAGACAUGGAGGAGAGGGAGGCUUGGGGGAGAGGGAGGCUUGGAGGAGAGGGAGGCUUGGGGGAGAGGGAGGCUUGGAGGAGAGGGAGGCUUGGGGGAGAGGGAGACAUGGAGGAGAGGGAGGCUUGGGGGAGAGGGAGGCUUGGAGGAGAGGGAGGCUUGGGGGAGAGGGAGGCUUGGAGGAGAGGGAGG
This is a long non-coding RNA of Oncorhynchus tshawytscha (Chinook salmon), 641 nucleotides long. NCBI's taxonomy places the organism in Eukaryota, Metazoa, Chordata, Actinopteri, Salmoniformes, Salmonidae. The record is from Ensembl.